GAUAAAUAUAAUCAAGGUUAUAUUUACAUGACUUGAAAAUUAAAUUCAAGAGAGUUUCAUUCUUUCAUCAUUAAUUUGAUGUAAAUACAUAAACAUUG
This 98-nucleotide non-coding RNA is filed under the name unclassified sequences. RNAcentral's name for it is "RT-9 RNA". It matches the Rfam family "RT-9 RNA". Rfam says of the family: Firmicutes. The record is from Rfam by way of RNAcentral.